GGAAGCAAAACCAAAAAGAAAGCCAGCCUGCAAAUGUAAAUGCACCAGCUACGUGCCAAGUGAAGGUGCUGAUGCUGUGAUAAGCCUUCAGCUUGGAAGGUCCUUCCCCUGCUCUCCCCCACUGGAUUCAAACCAGGCAGUGAAGCCAGGUCUGUUCCUGGAGCCGUUGGAGGCUCACCGAUGUCUGUCUUCGGACCUCCCUGCUGAUAAAGAUUUAUGUGAUAGGAACAAUUUGGUUGGGGUCAGGAUUUCUCCUCCAUAGAACCCAGGGCUACGUGGGGAGCUGCUGGGAUCCCAGCACAGCCUCUGUCCGGUUUCAGUUACAGCUUGAGGUAUUUUUGCCUCUUCUCUUUGCACGGGAUUUAAAGCUGAGAUAUGCAAACAGAGGCUGUUGUCCACCAAUGUCCUCCAAUGGGCGACUGCUCUCCAGCUCCUUGCAUACAGUAUCUGCACACAGUAGCUUUUGCCUUCUUGCACAAGUAUUUUAAUUGCUAAUUUGCUGGUGUCAUUUAGCUCAGCUUUGGCAUUUAUCACUUGGAUUUAAACUUGUUCAAACCGACGAUUUUCUUGGCUACCUGUGUUAAUAAUUUAAAGGCAAAAGCUCAUCACUAAGUUAUUAUGGGUAAUUAUUUUGUAGCUGGUGUGGAAAUGGUCAUUUCUGCAGCCUUAACGAAUCAUUGAAUCAUAGAAUGGUUUGAAUUGGAAGGGACCUUAAGGACCAUCUGGUCCAACUCCCUGCACUGC
This 744-nucleotide long non-coding RNA is filed under the name Gallus gallus (chicken). The record is from RNAcentral. Lineage: Eukaryota; Metazoa; Chordata; Aves; Galliformes; Phasianidae.